GCGUGCCGGCCGGGGGACGGACUGGG
RNAcentral lists this small nuclear RNA (26 nucleotides) under Arabidopsis thaliana (thale cress). Its description in RNAcentral is "snRNA_07793". The record is from RNAcentral. Lineage: Eukaryota; Viridiplantae; Streptophyta; Magnoliopsida; Brassicales; Brassicaceae.